This 497-nucleotide ribosomal RNA is filed under the name uncultured bacterium. Its description in RNAcentral is "partial 16S ribosomal RNA". It matches the Rfam family "Bacterial small subunit ribosomal RNA", at positions 28 to 507 of the family's 1533-position model. The record is from RNAcentral.
GAUGAACGCUGGCGGCGUGCCUAAUACAUGCAAGUCGAGCGAACGGACGAGAAGCUUGCUUCUCUGAUGUUAGCGGCGGACGGGUGAGUAACACGUGGAUAACCUACCUAUAAGACUGGGAUAACUUCGGGAAACCGGAGCUAAUACCGGAUGAUAUUUUGAACCACAUGGUUCAAAAGUGAAAGACGGUCUUGCUGUCACUUAUAGAUGGAUCCGCGCUGCAUUAGCUAGUUGUUAAGGUAACGGCUUACCAAGGCAACGAUGCAUAGCCGACCUGAGAGGGUGAUAGGCCACACUGGAACUGAGACACGGUCCAGACUCCUACGGGAGGCAGCAGUAGGGAAUCUUCCGCAAUGGGCGAAAGCCUGACGGAGCAACGCCGCGUGAGUGAUGAAGGUCUUCGGAUCGUAAAACUCUGUUAUUAGGGAAGAACAUAUGUGUAAGUAACUGUGCACAUCUUGACGGUACCUAAUCAGAAAGCCACGGCUAACUACGUG